This 488-nucleotide long non-coding RNA is filed under the name Cairina moschata (Muscovy duck). RNAcentral's name for it is "domestica (muscovy Duck (domestic type)) lncRNA (ENSCMMG00000004310.1)". The record is from RNAcentral. Lineage: Eukaryota; Metazoa; Chordata; Aves; Anseriformes; Anatidae.
CCAAAUAUCCUACAAAUUGAACUUCAGAUCCAGGCAGAGUCUGCUACUGAAUUAGCUGCAAUAAAAUUUCUUCUUUUCCCAGGCAAGCAUAAUCCAGGAUCACAAUUUCUCUGGGAGAGAUGGCAAGGCUCUAGCAAAACUGGGAAAGAGGCAAAGGGGAAGCAUAAUCUUUUUUUGUCCCUAUUGGCCAAGUCAACAUCAAGAAGAAAUAAGAACAUUUUGGGGCUCUUGAGCAGAAUCUUUGCUGAGUUUUCCUGAUUGCUUGGAGGUAUUUUCCCCAAACAUUUAUUCAAGGUCUGCGGUCAGUCAGCCUUGUCUGAUCCUGGGGAGAAACAGGAAGGCAGCUAGCCAUAUGGAGAGGCUCCGAUGUUGAGGAAUGUCAGGCUGGUAGCCAUCUGCCAAGAAGUGGGCAGAAGCUAGGAGGCAGCCAGAAGAUCUGCAGCAAAGUCUGGGAUCCCAGACAGCUUUGAAGGGUGGUUCAAGGAAAG